CCGGAUAGUGUCGAAGAGUUAGCGGGUGCAAGUACACAAGACCUCAGCGCAAUUACUGGAAAUUUAGCGAUUGCUG
RNAcentral lists this transfer RNA (76 nucleotides) under Chlorobium chlorochromatii CaD3. RNAcentral describes it as "tRNA-Gly". The record is from RNAcentral. Lineage: Bacteria; Pseudomonadati; Chlorobiota; Chlorobiia; Chlorobiales; Chlorobiaceae.